Molecule: ribosomal RNA, 249 nt
Filed under: uncultured bacterium
Lineage: Bacteria
Description: partial 16S ribosomal RNA
Rfam family: Bacterial small subunit ribosomal RNA
Source: RNAcentral
UGGGGAAUAUUGCACAAUGGGCGCAAGCCUGAUGCAGCCAUGCCGCGUGUGUGAAGAAGGCCUUCGGGUUGUAAAGCACUUUCAGCGAGGAGGAAGGGUUCAGUGUUAAUAGCACUGUUCAUUGACGUUACUCGCAGAAGAAGCACCGGCUAACUCCGUGCCAGCAGCCGCGGUAAUACGGAGGGUGCAAGCGUUAAUCGGAAUUACUGGGCGUAAAGCGCACGCAGGCGGUUUGUUAAGUCAGAUGUG